Long non-coding RNA from Ostrea edulis (European flat oyster), 1367 nucleotides. RefSeq lists it as uncharacterized. The transcript is spliced from 2 exons. The record is from RefSeq and is a predicted model, not a curated record. Lineage: Eukaryota; Metazoa; Mollusca; Bivalvia; Ostreida; Ostreidae.
CAUAUUAUACAUGUAUAUUGUAUAAUAUGAUGGGUAUAUGUAUGAAGAAUCGGUUCAUUGAAUAAAAUGCUUAGGCAAGGUAAUGUAAUUUAAACAUGCAGUCAAGCAUAAAAAUUUGGUCACUUUCCCAGUGUAAUGGCCUGGGGUAUAUAAUUAUAUUUUGGCCAAAUGUCCCUUGUGUCUUUUAAUUUCAUUGGAGUUUUAGUUUGUCUUAUGUCAUUGGAUUGGUCUUGGAGAUUUUCCCUCCAAGAGUUCUGUUCUUUGUGGUCAGUCUUUAUUCAGUUUUUGAAGAAGAGAGUUGAUUUCAGUAGAUCUGACAUAUUUUGACAAUUAGACAUAGACCGACAUUUUUCCUCUUGAAUGGUAAGUUAAUAAUUUAUUACUAAUGCUAAUCUAUUCUAUAAUUCCUUUACUAAAUGUUAAAUCUGUAAUUUUGCAUAAAAUUCCUUUUGUUGCCACAUUCCUGGAAUAAAUGAUCAGUGAAAGUGAGACUUAUAUAAUGUAAAUAUCUGUGAUAGUAAUGUAUAUGAUUCGUCUCACUGUGAUAUUAUUUUAAAGUAAAAGUAUGUUUUAUGACUUACAAGAUAUUGUAGAUAUCAUAAUUAAUUUAUAGAUCAGACCAGUUUGGUGUCAUCUGUAAAUAUUGUUCACUCGAGCCUAUUCCCAUAGAAUGGGUUUCAUCAUUGGACAAUUCGUGCAUUGGUAACUCCUGAAUAAACGUCUUGUCGAGAACCCAAACAGGUGUUCCUGUUAUUACUUAAGGGAAAGAGAAACCUGUUACAAUACAAUAUAAUAUUCAUCAUCGAUCAAUACCGGGAAAUAGCUACAUGUAUUUAUAUUUCAGCAGAAUCAACAGAACUUCUGAAUGCAAUUAUGUUAUAGAAUUUCGUUUUUAUCGUUUGUAAGCAAAAUGUCCUUGAAAAAGCGUGAAAUUGACAAGUACUUAAGAAAUCCUAGCAUAUCAUCUCAUAACAGAAACCCGUCUCAAGAGGGGGUCUGACGUCAUAGGAGACUUGCUCUCUUCAUACCUAUUAACAUUACGCAAGGCCGAUGUUACAAGAUAGCGAAAAAGGAAGUUAAAGUUUGCGUGAAUCAGAGAACGCGCUUCAAUGGUUAAAGGCGUUCGGACAGGGACUAUACGAGUGAACGUAAGCGCUUCCAAUCCUUGUGUGAAAACUUGUUGAUUCGCAUUGUGUUUUUCAACCGAGGGUGGGUGAUGGUGUUAAACAGCGAUGGACCGAUAUCCUGUAGUCGGUGAAUGUAUAUAUGUGACUUAUCGCGUUGGUAACCAGCAAAAACAAGUGGUUCUUUGGUCAAGAAGAGAUCCGUUCCCAUGUGUACACACAUAAAUAUUAAAAUGUAAUGAC